UCCGUAGGUGAACCUGCGGAAGGAUCAUUACAGAAAUAGGAGAAGGUUGCUUAACUGCAAUCCUUUUCUUUCUACACAUGCGUUUUUCUUUUUUUUGAAAACUUUGCUUUGGUGGGCCCACGGCCUGCCAGAGAUUAAACUCAACCAAAUUUUUAUUUAAUUGUCAACUUGAUUAACUAAUAGUCAAAACUUUCAACAACGGAUCUCUUGGUUCUCGCAUCGAUGAAGAACGCAGCGAAAUGCGAUAAGUAAUAUGAAUUGCAGAUAUUCGUGAAUCAUCGAAUCUUUGAACGCACAUUGCGCCCUUUGGUAUUCCAAAGGGCAUGCCUGUUUGAGCGUCAUUUCUCCCUCAAACCUUCGGGUUUAGUGUUGAGCGAUACGCUGGGUUUGCUUGAAAGAAAGGCGGAGUAUAAACUAACGGAUAGGUUUUUUUUUCCACUCAUUGGUACGAACUCCAAACAUUCCUCCAAAUUCGACCUCAAAUCAGGUAGGACUACCCGCUGAACUUAAGCAUAUCAAUAAGCGGAGGA
RNAcentral lists this ribosomal RNA (530 nucleotides) under uncultured fungus. RNAcentral's name for it is "partial 18S ribosomal RNA". The stretch from base 188 to 341 matches the Rfam family "5.8S ribosomal RNA". The record is from RNAcentral. Lineage: Eukaryota; Fungi.